UACGUAGGGGGCAAGCGUUGUCCGGAUUUAUUGGGCGUAAAAGGCUUGUAGGUGGCCACGCCAAGUCGGAUGUGAAAUCUCCCGGCUCAACUGGGAGGGGUCAUUCGAUACUGGCGGGCUCGAGGCCGGUAGGGGGAAGUGGAAUUCCCGGUGUAGUGGUGGAAUGCGUAGAUAUCGGGAGGAACACCUGUGGCGAAAGCGGCGCACUGGACCAUAACUGACGCUGAGGCGCGAAAGCUAGGGGAGCAAACAGG
RNAcentral lists this ribosomal RNA (254 nucleotides) under uncultured bacterium. RNAcentral's name for it is "partial 16S ribosomal RNA". It matches the Rfam family "Bacterial small subunit ribosomal RNA", at positions 524 to 776 of the family's 1533-position model. The record is from RNAcentral.